UACAGAGGGUGCUAGCGUUGUUCGGAAUUAUUGGGCGUAAAGGGCGCGUAGGCGGUUUCGCAUGUCCGAUGUGAAAGCCCACCUCUUAAAGGUGGAAUUGCAUCGGAAACUGCGAGACUAGAGUGCCGGAGAGGGUGGUGGAAUUCCUGGUGUAGAGGUGAAAUUCGUAGAUAUUGGGAGGAACACCAGUGGCGAAGGCGGCUGCCUGGACCGGUUCUGACGCUGAGGCGCGAAAGCGUGGGUAGCAAACAGG
RNAcentral lists this ribosomal RNA (253 nucleotides) under uncultured bacterium. Its description in RNAcentral is "partial 16S ribosomal RNA". It matches the Rfam family "Bacterial small subunit ribosomal RNA", at positions 524 to 776 of the family's 1533-position model. The record is from RNAcentral.